Molecule: long non-coding RNA, 545 nt
Organism: Helianthus annuus (common sunflower)
Lineage: Eukaryota; Viridiplantae; Streptophyta; Magnoliopsida; Asterales; Asteraceae
Exons: 2
Source: RefSeq, a predicted model, not a curated record
GCUGUAAUAAUGAGAUGCCAUGAAAGUGUGAUAGAAAACAGGGGCGAUGCUUUGAAGCGGCCGGGAGGGGCGCCCGACCCCCCGAACUUUUCAGCCAGUAGUGUUAUAUAUGUAGUUUUCGUAUAGAAAUUUUUGGGUAUAUACGUUUUCGACCCCCCCGUAAAAAAUUUCAAGCUUCGCCAAUGAUAGAAAAACGAGAGGCUAGUGUUUUGGCUGCAAUCAACCUUUUUGGACGGACCACUGAGAUAAUAAAAGGGCUUGAAACGCAUGAACUACUGAACAUGGAUCCUGAUAAGAUGGGGUUUAUCGAUGAGUGGCGUCUUCAUCUAAAGCAACCUUAGAACUCGCGGUGAUUCAUAUGAAGUCAAGGUCAAGAAAAGAACUGUUUCAUGGACAACCUAAGACAUGUCAGCUUCAAGUAUAAUGAUAUAUGGUUUUCUGUUUGAAAAUGUGUCUUCUCUUUCUCUUUUUAAGUUAUUUGCAACAUGGGUGUAUUAUAUUUAAUGUGUUAGUUGUUGUAUUAUCUUGAAUACAACUCAAAUUAA